AGUUAAACAAGAAGAUAAUUGAAGCCCUGAAUAAUCUAGUAGUCAGAUCAUUCAAGAGCUUAAAGCCAACAGGGAAGCGCUUCUUGAUAGGAGUAGACACACGUAAUGUUUUAUCAACUGUAAUGUACGUUAAAUGCCCGUUUGUGAAGUCGAUUGAUGCAGCAGCUUUGCUUCUGCAAUCUUUCCUCCAAGCAGAAAAUGGAGGGAAUGAAAGAAGGUAACAGUCACCUCAUUUUUGGAGUCAAGUCAACCGAACACCUCAUCUUACAGAAUCGAAGAACUUACUGCGUUGAAAGCCGGCUUGUCGCUGCAAGAAACAACACAAAUCCUUUCCUCUAAAACUGGCGGCCCUGUGAAUGUGCUGAAAUUCUUUGACUGGGCAGCAGCAAAGAAGAAGGAUGUAGAUGUUUUUGUGCUAAUCAGCACUUCAAAUAUUACACCAUGUGAUCCCUACAACGGAAUAGUUCAUUAUUGUGAAGAACUCAAGAAAGAAGAGCAAAAUGUCAAGUUGAUCACAAUAUCGCUGAAUGGCAUGUGUUCAAAACCGAAGCAGUAUUACAAGAAGUCAAACAUGCUGUACAUUAAUGGCUUUGAUGAUAAAGUCUGGCGGAUCAUCCAGGAAUUCUGCCGCAGCUCUUUCUGAAGUCAAACCUAAUCUGUCCACCGGUUUGAACCCAAAUUAAUGUGAUUUAUUUUUUAAUCAAGUGACUUCAUUUUCUAGUACUCAGGGACUGUCAUCCCCGAGACUGGGCAGAACCCUGGGCUCACAUGAGUGUGACACUCUGGCCUGAAAACCAAGUGCAUUCUUAAGUAGAAUUCAACUUGUCGGUUAAAAUUAAUGUAGGGCAGUCAAAUUUACCGAAUGCUGUACUAUUUGAAUAAGUUUUUUGAGUGAGAGGAGCAUUGAAAUCACCCUGAGGAAAUUUUCAAGUCAAAUUAUUUUCCUUUAACGGGGCACAUGAUGUCAUUUUUUAUGAUUAUUAUCUUCUCACCAUUGAUCAUGACAGUCGUCAAUUUCAUAAAACGAUACGGCUUUUAGUGAGGAUAAAAUAUUUACAUGGAACAUGAAAAAACGAAAAUAUGAUAGCUAAAACUCGGGGAAACCGUGCCUUUGUUAUCCGAAACUUGAUCAGAUUUGUGAUUUGCUAUUGUCUCUUGGGUCUUGUUAAUCAGCUGGUCUUGUUAUGCCAUGCCUUUCUAGAGUUUGAGGGAGGAUUUCAAGUGUCAUCAAGUUCUCCAAUUAUAAGUUUAAGAAUGUUUUCAGUGGUGUAACUAAGUUAAAGUCAAAUAAAGUGCCUGCUUGAAGGAAACUCAGUCUAAUAGCCAAAUCAAAAUAAGGUGUGGAGUCUUUCAUUGACAGUUAAAAAUGCAAAAGAGACGCAGCUAUAAGACUAUAAGUAACUUUUAAUCACCAUAUUAAAAUAUUAUGAAACAAACAGUAAUAUCUUUGACUUUUUCUCAGACUCUGAAUAAUAAACUGACCCAGUCCUUUCCUGUUGGCGAGCCAUUAGGGAAAAAGUUAUGAUCUUAUUUUAUACUGUGCUGCUCUCUCAAAAGUUAUACUUAAUUUUUAUUUUUAUUUUUUCAUUUCAUUUUAUAUCUGUUUUUAACCUCGAAAUAUUAGUAAAUACCUGCUAAUUUCAUCCCUAUCUUGACUCAAAAGAUGAUUCAACAAUUUUUAAAACUGCGAGUAUACCAAGUGUUAAUUUUUCACUGCUCAUAGGUUUAAGGAUUGUCAAGAAAAAUUGGUGCUAAGCCAACAAGACUUUAUGGUAUUCAGUUUUGUGUGCCAAGACAUCAAAACACUUGCAUUAUUCAGCCCAGGGUUCACCUUUGUCUCCAGAUUAAUAAUCUGCUCUCAAGAAACCAAAUUCUUCUGGUGCAUCCUUGUUCUUAGUUUAAAUAUGGUUGGAGUUGAAGGGAGCAAGUUCAGAUCCCUCAUCUGAGGCCACUGUAUAAACAGGUUUCGUCUACAAUGGCUUUUUUGAAAGUGGCACUUAAUUUUUCACAAGGUCUCCAUGGUAGGUAGGUCUUACUUCAAAAUGAUGCAAGUAUAUAGCAUUUCUCCGCUUUUUUUUUACUGCUUGCCAACUGAUGUCCAAUUCAAAUUCCACCUCUGUUUUGCUCUGUCCUUCAAGAAGCAAAAUUAACCAACAAGUAGUAAAGUGGUGACUUACAGGUGUUAUAUUUUUGAGGCCAAAAGUAGAAUGAAGUAAUUUUCAAAUCUACAGGUGCAUGGUCAAUCAAAUCUUGAUUGAUCAGAGGCUGAGGUAUUUGCUGUUUUGCAACAAGAUUAAAUCAUAAUUAUUUGCUCACUCUAAGCUUCGACCAUUUUGUUUCAUUAACAAGAACCUACUGCAUGGACACAUCAGCAGUAUUUUUCUGAUAUUUAACUGUUACAUAUUAUACUUAUUUUUCUCUUACUUUUCCGCUGUGAGUGAUAGUCGUAAUUAAAAUCAAAUGAUUUUUUAUAGGUACCUACAAAGUAUGUAGAUAGUUGUGGCUGCUAAG
This 2511-nucleotide long non-coding RNA is filed under the name Bemisia tabaci. RNAcentral's name for it is "lncRNA ENSSSA3NGG006087". The record is from RNAcentral. Lineage: Eukaryota; Metazoa; Arthropoda; Insecta; Hemiptera; Aleyrodidae.